UCAAGAAUCUUCCUCAAUGGGCGAAAGCCUGAAGGAGCGACGCCGCGUGUAUGAUGAAGCUCUUCGGAGUGUAAAGUACUUUUACCAGGGAAGAACUAUGACGGUACCUGGAGAAUAAGGGGCUGCUAACUUCGUGCCAGCAGCAGCGGUAAUACGAAGGCCCCGAGCAUUAUCCGGAUUUAUUGGGUGUAAAGCGUGCGUAGGUGGUUUGGUGUAUCUUUUGUUAAAGCCCGGGGCUCAACCCUGGAACUGCGAGAGACAUAGCCAGACUAGAGACUGGAAGAGGCAAGUGGAAUUACUGGUGUAGGGGUUAAAUCCGUUAAUAUCAGUAGGAACGCCAAAUGUGAAGACAGCUUGCUAGGACAGUUCUGACACUAAGGCACGAAAGCGUGGGGAGCGAAUGGG
This 405-nucleotide ribosomal RNA is filed under the name uncultured bacterium. RNAcentral's name for it is "bacterial SSU rRNA". It matches the Rfam family "Bacterial small subunit ribosomal RNA", at positions 355 to 776 of the family's 1533-position model. The record is from RNAcentral.